AUGAGUUUUGAAGUGGCAGAAUCGGACGCGACCCUUCGCUCAGAUGGCGCAGAACAAAAAUCUAAUGAACCUGAGAUAA
Drosophila willistoni is the source of this 79-nucleotide long non-coding RNA. RefSeq lists it as uncharacterized. The transcript is spliced from 3 exons. The record is from RefSeq and is a predicted model, not a curated record. Lineage: Eukaryota; Metazoa; Arthropoda; Insecta; Diptera; Drosophilidae.